Syzygium oleosum is the source of this 599-nucleotide long non-coding RNA. RefSeq lists it as uncharacterized. The transcript has 2 exons. NCBI's taxonomy places the organism in Eukaryota, Viridiplantae, Streptophyta, Magnoliopsida, Myrtales, Myrtaceae. The record is from RefSeq and is a predicted model, not a curated record.
CUUGUCGCCUUGUCUACUCUCUGUCUCGCUCUAGGUAAUAUGGAGGGGGGUGAAAGUAGCAAUUAUAAUGAUGAAGUAGCAUCGGUCGAAUCAGUUGAACAAGACUUUGAUGAUUUUGAUCUUGAUAUACUGAUAUCCUGGUUGUGCACUUUACGGUGGAUAUGUCCAUGCACACGAGAGAACCUAUUAGAGACAGCGUAUUGUCAGGACCCGAAUAGGUAAGAGAGGUUUUAUAUGGACAUUCAGAUAGAGUAUAUGAAGCUUUUAGAAUGGAGAGACAUGUCCUUCUCAACCUUUGUGAAUUGAUGAAAGUAAAAGGUUGGUUGAAAGAUAGUCGAUAUAUUAGGGUAGAUGAAUAAGUUGGGAUUUUCUUAUCUAUGAUUUGUCAUAAGAACUCGAAUAGAGAUUUAUGUGAGAGAUUCCAACAUUCGGGACAAACUAUCAGUAAGUACUUUACAAUAGUGUUGAAAGCAGUUCUCAAACUGGCAAGAGAGGUUAUUGUACCCCCUUCCUUUGAUAUCGUCAUAGAGGAGAUUUUUAUGGAUCCUAACCAUAAACGUUAUUUUAAGGUAGGAUUCUCACACAUUCCUUCCUUUACA